Penaeus monodon (black tiger shrimp) is the source of this 462-nucleotide RNA transcript. It is a transcript of the gene named kunitz-type serine protease inhibitor HCRG2-like, with no coding region annotated. NCBI's taxonomy places the organism in Eukaryota, Metazoa, Arthropoda, Malacostraca, Decapoda, Penaeidae. The record is from RefSeq and is a predicted model, not a curated record. The transcript has 5 exons.
AACAACCGAGGCUCCCGUGCAGUGUACAGAACCUGAACUCAACAAUGCGUUUAUUAAUUUUCCUGAGUCUCAUCUUCGUCGCCUCUGGCCUACUCCGCCCACUGGGAGAUAUUGCAGAAAUUGUGUGUCAUCAGCCGAAGGUGGUAGGGCCUUGCAAAGCCCGUUUCCAUAGGUUCUACUAUAGCUUCGAUAAGAAUGAAUGCAUACCGUUUAUUUACGGCGGUUGUGGGAAGAAUGACAACAACUUUGAAACAAAAGAAGAUUGCUGGUUUCUCUGCGGCCGAUGAAGAUCCGGGAAUGCACCGCACAUGGAAAGGAUCCACUUACUUGACGAAAUGAUCUCAGACGCCUCUCUACAGCUUCAGAGUUUCAGCUGAAGAUGCUUUCAUUCUUAAAAAUUCAACUUUUGAAAUUUAUUCUCAGCAAAAUGUAAUAUCAUUUGAGUAAAUGUUGUACUUAAAA